RNAcentral lists this ribosomal RNA (499 nucleotides) under uncultured Glomeromycotina. Its description in RNAcentral is "partial small subunit ribosomal RNA". It matches the Rfam family "Eukaryotic small subunit ribosomal RNA", at positions 591 to 1092 of the family's 1831-position model. Lineage: Eukaryota; Fungi; Glomeromycota. The record is from RNAcentral.
CCAAUAGCGUAUAUUAAAGUUGUUGCAGUUAAAAAGCUCGUAGUUGAAUUUCGAGACCGGUUUACUGGUCGUGCUUUUGUACGUACUGGUAUUAUUGGUUUCUCCUUUCUGACGAAUCAUAAUGCCAUUAAUUUGGUGUUUUGGGGAAUCAGGACUGUUACUUUGAAAAAAUUAGAGUGUUUAAAGCAGGCUCACGCUUGAAUACAUUAGCAUGGAAUAACGAAAUAGGACGUUUGAUUUUAUUUUGUUGGUUUCUAGGAUCGACGUAAUGAUUAAUAGGGAUAGUUGGGGGCAUUAGUAUUCAAUUGUCAGAGGUGAAAUUCUUGGAUUUAUUGAAGACUAACUACUGCGAAAGCAUUUGCCAAGGAUGUUUUCAUUAAUCAAGAACGAAAGUUAGGGGAUCGAAGACGAUCAGAUACCGUCGUAGUCUUAACCAUAAACUAUGCCGACUAGGGAUCGGAUGAUGUUAAUUUUUUAAUGACUCAUUCGGCGCCUUGCG